UACGUAGGGUGCGAGCGUUGUCCGGAAUUACUGGGCGUAAAGAGCUCGUAGGUGGUUUGUCGCGUUGUUCGUGAAAACUCACAGCUCAACUGUGGGCGUGCGGGCGAUACGGGCAGACUGGAGUACUGCAGGGGAGACUGGAAUUCCUGGUGUAGCGGUGGAAUGCGUAGAUAUCGGAAGGAACAUCAGUGGCGAAAGCGGCUUCCUGGACCAGUACCGACGUUCAGGCACGAAAGCGUGGGGAGCAAACAGG
Molecule: ribosomal RNA, 253 nt
Filed under: uncultured bacterium
Lineage: Bacteria
Description: partial 16S ribosomal RNA
Rfam family: Bacterial small subunit ribosomal RNA
Source: RNAcentral